This is a long non-coding RNA of Talpa occidentalis (Iberian mole), 2161 nucleotides long. RefSeq lists it as uncharacterized. The transcript has 3 exons. The record is from RefSeq and is a predicted model, not a curated record. Lineage: Eukaryota; Metazoa; Chordata; Mammalia; Eulipotyphla; Talpidae.
CGAACCUGAAUCUGCUCGGCUGGAACGUGGAUGAUGUGGGGCGGCCUGUCGCCAUGGUGAUGCACCGCGUUGCUCUCCUGCUCAUAGAUGGCGUCGCGUUCCGGCUGGGGAAGACUGAGGAACCUUCGGAUCAUGGAGAGAUUCUCCCACAGGGUUCUGUUUUCCGGAGAAGGAUCUUCCUUCCAGCGUAACAGCUCACACAACCACCCCUGUGAGGCAAGGCAUGACAGAAACCUUCAAUCUCAACGGCAAAUGAGUCUGGAAAGUAGGUGGAAGUCUUGAAAUUACUUGGUUUCUUCUAUGUCUGGUGCUCUCCUCACAAAGACAGAAACCCUCUCUUUCUGGCAUUAAAAACCAAACCUAUCAACCAGCCAAAGGCACAGCAGCCAAAGUUCUGUAACUCCACACGACUGAGACAGAAGAGAACAAUAAUGAGCAAAGCAAAUACAAGAAAAAAUACAUAAUAAUGUACUUUAACAAGCCUUGCUAACAUGCAACUAAGUGACUCCUGCAUGCUUCAAGUAGAAGACAGCAGUUCACUUGGGAGAGAAUUUAGAAAUUUCUCCAGUGGUAUUUUGAGGCCUGCACAAAGUCCCAUUUGUGUAUACGAAGGAUAUCAGGGGCAAAGCAUGUUAUUUCCACUUAUUUAUUCCAGUGGAGCCAGUGCAGCUUUUCCAAAAUGUAAAAAGGUCUCAAGUGGUAUUUCAAACCCUGGAACCCCUCAAGAGCUCUAAGUAGCCAGUAGAGACAGUGUUUUAGAACCUUAGGGGUUUGUGAGUGUGUGGCUUUUUUUUUUUUUUUUUUUUUUUUUUGGCCCAAGCUUUCAAUGAGGGGAGUGCCCCCUGGUGGAAAGCUUGAAAAUAUUGUUAGAAAAUGUUCUGAUUAGAAUGUGUUAAUUACCAAAAAAAAAAAGUCAUGUCAUUGGAGCAUAAUUCUGGAUGCAAAAUGACUGCAGUUAGAACCCAGAUAUGGGAAUGCAUGUUUUGGUCCUGUCCCGGUGGUGAUUCCUGGAUUCAAGGUGUUUCUGGCCCAUUUGCCAUUUCCUAUAGUCGAAAAUACAGUUCAGACUUGCCAAGUUACUAGGUCAAGGUUAUUUGUAGUAAUCUCCCAUGGUGGAUACGAAGAGAGAUUUCUCACCAAAAAUUCUUCUUCCCCCUAAAAAAUAAUAUAUCAAAGGCAUCAUGUCCCUGACUUGCUAUCUCAGAGAUGUUGAAACACCAGGACUAAAUUCAUCAAUAAUGGGCAACAUAGGUGUUCAAUCAAUUUGUUGACCAAAAUUCAACAAAAUAUUAGUCAUUCUUGGUUCUGAGAAGAAGAAUCUGUAUAUUGUUUGGAGCAAGUUACCAGCACCUCAUAAAUACUAAAUUUAUUGGAAAUGAGAAGCUGUUCUUCCUUAAGACUUUCCAUCCUCAAGUACUUUUGCCAUGUAUUAUGGAAACAUUCCACAUUGUUGUGAUAGCGGUUAAGGGAGAGUCGUCAUUUUUUCAAUUAAAGUGAACUGACUGAUGAAUUCCUAAACCGUUUUUAUAUUCCAAAAAGAGUUUACAAGUCAUUACAAGUAAAAUUCAUUAGUAAUUGUAAAAGAAAGAAGAAAACCUUCAAUAAAUAUUAUCAGUACUUCCAAAAGCUAAUUAUGAAUUCUUUAAAACAGCAGAUAAGCGGAAGAGACUGCCAAUUUGAACAAAAAAGCCUGUCUGGCCUCCCAGUUGCCUCCUCUUUGAACAUAAUCACUGAUUCAAACAGAUUUUAUCAGCUUCAUGGAACUUCAAAGCCUUCAGAAGGAAAAUAUGAUUUGACGAAACCUUCCUCCUAAAAAGAAUGCAUUCUUCAAGGGUACCUGCCUCUGUGGUGUGGAGAAGUUUUAAUCACAUGUCCAGGUGAAAGACCAUAUUCAAACUCCACCUACUACCUUGGACUCAUGCCAAGUAAGUUAUACGCAGACACAUUUAUCUCUGUCGUUUGGGAGGCUAAAAGAAAGCUGUCGUGUUGAGGUAAUAGCACCUUUUUAGCUUUUAUUCAAUAGCAAUAUGGAUAGUGGACUUUUCUUAAAUUACACUGUGAAGAAUUAUAGGAACACAGUAGCAAUUUCUGUUAUACUUAAGCAGGCAAAUUUCUCUCCACCACAUAAUUUACAGAACUCAAAUUCAAUAAAACAUUACAU